GGACCCGCACAAGCAGCGGAGCAUGUGGUUUAAUUCGAAGCAACGCGAAGAACCUUACCAGGGCUUGACAUCCCGAUGACCGGUACAGAGAUGUACCUUCUCUUCGGAGCAUUGGUGACAGGUGGUGCAUGGUUGUCGUCAGCUCGUGUCGUGAGAUGUUGGGUUAAGUCCCGCAACGAGCGCAACCCCUGUUUUUAGUUGCCAUCAGGUAAAGCUGGGCACUCUAGAGAGACUGCCGGGGAUAACUCGGAGGAAGGUGGGGACGACGUCAAAUCAUCAUGCCCCUUAUGUCCUGGGCUACACACGUGCUACAAUGGCCGGAAACAGAGGGCAGCGAAGCCGCGAGGCGGAGCGAAUCCCAGAAAGCCGGUCCCAGUUCGGAUUGCGGGCUGCAACUCGCCCGCAUGAAGUCGGAGUUGCUAGUAAUCGCGAAUCAGCACGUCGCGGUGAAUGCGUUCCCGGGUCUU
RNAcentral lists this ribosomal RNA (467 nucleotides) under uncultured bacterium. Its description in RNAcentral is "bacterial SSU rRNA". It matches the Rfam family "Bacterial small subunit ribosomal RNA", at positions 917 to 1382 of the family's 1533-position model. The record is from RNAcentral.